RNAcentral lists this long non-coding RNA (1089 nucleotides) under Numida meleagris (helmeted guineafowl). RNAcentral's name for it is "lncRNA (ENSNMEG00000002725.1)". The record is from RNAcentral. Lineage: Eukaryota; Metazoa; Chordata; Aves; Galliformes; Numididae.
AAGGGAAGGGGGGUGUGUGGGGGGGCCCUGGAUGACGUCAUGGGGGUGGGAGGGGUCGCCAGUGGGUUCUGGAGUUUAUCUGGGGUCCGCAGUGGGUUCUAGAGCAGGCGAAGUGGGGUUGGGGGCCGUCCGUGGGUUCUAGAGCAAACGGUGCGGGGGGGGGGGUGUCAGGGGGUUCCGGAGUUAGUGGGGAACGCUUGGGGUUCUCUGUGGGUUCUAGAGCUAACAAGGCGGGUUUGCAGUAACCAGUGGGUUCUAGGCUUAGUGGGGAAUGUUUGGGGUCUUCAGUGGGUUCUAGAGUUAAUUUGGGGUUCUCAGUGGGCUCUAGAGCUAGCAAAGUGGGCUUGCGGUCGUUAAUGGGUUCCAGAGUUGAUGGGGAACGUUUGGGGUUGUCUGUGGGUGCUGGAGUUAAUGGGUAAAUGUUGGGGUCAUCAGUGGGUUCUAGGUCUAACAAGGUGGGUUUGGGGUCGUCAGUGGGUUCUGGAGUUAAUGGGGAAAGCUUGGGGUAGUCAGUGGGUUCUAGGUCUAACAAAGUGGGUUUGGGGUUGUCAGUGGGCUCUGGAGUUAAUUUGGGGUUCUCAGUGGGUUCUAGGUCUAACAAAGUGGGUUUGGGGUCGUCAGUGGGUUCUGGAGUUAAUGGGGAAAGCUUAGGGUCGUCAGUGGGUUCUGGAGUUAAUGGGGAAAUCUUGGGGUCAUCUGUGGGUUUUGGAGUUAAUUUGGGCUCGUCAGCGGGUUCUAGAUCUAACAAAGCGGGCUUGGGGUCGUUAGCGGGUUCCAGAGUUAAUGGGGAACGUUUGGGGUUGUCUGUGGGUGCUGGAGGCAAUGGGGAAAUGUUGGGGUCAUCAGUGGGUUCUAGGUCUAACAAGGUGGGUUUGGGGUCGUCAGUGGGUUCUGGAGUUAAUUUGGGCUCGUCAGCGGGUUCUAGAUCUAACAAAGCGGGCUUGGGGCCAUCAGUGGGUUCUAGACUUCAUGGGGGAUGUUUAGGCUCUUCGGUAGGUUCUGCAGUUAAUUUGGGGUGCUCAGUGGGUUCUAGAGCUGACAGAGCAAAUUUGGGGUUGUCACUGGGUUCUGCACGUAACAAAGGGGCAA